Molecule: long non-coding RNA, 2165 nt
Organism: Oncorhynchus tshawytscha (Chinook salmon)
Lineage: Eukaryota; Metazoa; Chordata; Actinopteri; Salmoniformes; Salmonidae
Source: Ensembl
CUACCUACAUACAUACAUACAUACAUACAUACAUACAUACACACACACACACACACACACACACACACACACACACACACACACACACACACACACACACACACACAUACAUACAUACAUACAUACAUACAUACAUACUGUAUGUUUGUCAUUUUAUGUUUCUUCUUCUUCACAACAUUGCUCUAAAACCAUGGAUUCCAUUGAUACUAUUUUUGCUAAGGAAAUGCUGUCUUUUUUUCACACUAACCUGGUCUGCCUUAACAAAACAAACCUUAAGAACAAACAAACAAACACAUAAUAACAAAAAACAUACAAUUUACCUCAUGUUUUACCUGCACCUUUAGUGGCAGAGUGAGAUAGGAUGACUCAGGAAUUCUAGAACCAGAACCUUGAUAAUCCUUACUUCAGGUAUUCUAGAAGCCUGAAAGUCCUUCAGGUAUUCUAGAAACCGGAUAAUCCUUACUUCAGGUGUUCUAGAACCCUGAUAAUCCUUACUUCAGGUGUUCUAGAACCCUGAUAAUCCUUACUUCAGGUAUUCUAGAAGCCUGAUAAUCCUUACUUCAGGUAUUCUAAGAAUUCCGAAGACAUGUCGGCACUUUGUGGUCUGAUGCUGAUGCAAUAUCUCCUCACCAUUUCAAACUACCUCCGAUUUCCACCGCAACAACCUGAAAACUCCAAGCUCAAGGAAUGCACACUGCCCUGCUACACAGUACUGCACAGUACCACACAGUACUAAAUAGUAGUACACAGUACCACACAGUACUAAAUAGUACUACAUAGUAUUACUACACACUACAAUGCAUGGGGUGUCAGUGUGUGUGUGUCAACGAGCUAACUUGUUAUAAAAGUUGUUGUCUUGUGUCUCACAGACAUGUUCUGUGUAAUGUUCUGUGUAAGUCUGACAGGUCAUUUACUGAAAUCAGGAGUUUAAAAAGAUAUAUAUAUAUUUCCUAAUGUAGAACUCAUAAGCAGCUAAUGGAAGAAGCACUGUGGUGUCUUUAUUUUCACACGAACAUUAGUGUUUGUAUCUAAAUCCUAACGAGACACCCACUUGUACCUUUCCUCAACUGGGCCUUCUGUUUGACAAACUGUUCACUUGAAUAUAUUUGUUUUUCUGAUUUACUCAACGUUUUUUUAUUUUAAUUAAGGAUCAAGUGCUUGUAUGACACGACACGAUAUUAUUGUUUGUUUGUUUUUGCUCUGAUUUUUGUCUGAACUCUGUACUAUUCAUAUACAUUAUGUACCUCAAACUAACUGCUAAAAAAAAUGGACAUAUAAUCGAUUGACAAAUACCUACCUCCAGUCUUGAAAAGGAAUUGAUUUUUUUGCCGGGGUUUCUUUCAAUAUCAGUGUGAGUUUUGAUAAUGUAUGAUGAAAUCUAUCGAUAUUAUGGACUGCAAAAGAUCCCUUAUACUCAGAAGUAUUUUUUUUAAACUUGUUUUCAAAACUUCUGAACAAGUAAAUGUUUUCUUCACCCUGCGGAAGAAAUAGCCUUCAAAAAAAAAAAAAAAAAUGUAUCUUGAAGAUUUUCAGGUUUUGAAAAAUAUAUGUUUGGGUUUUGUAUAUUGUAUUCAUGGAUUUUGUUUUUUUAAUUAGUAGAUAUUGAUAUACUUGAUUAGCUAUUUUGUGUACUUUUAUGACACGUGAUUUAAUUUUUCUUGUUGUUAUGGUUCAACCAGAUGUAUAUGAAAAUGCUUCUUUAAGUAGUGAUGGAUUACAACUUUUAAAUGUUAACAUGGUAUAUUCUCAUACAGGCCUGAGGUAGGGAGCCUCAGAGAGUUAGCCAAACAACCCAACAUGCCCUUUCCACUCACACAGGCCUGGGUAGGGAGCCUCAGAGAGUUAGCCAAACAACCCAACAUGCCCUUUCCACUCACACAGGCCUGAGGUAGGGAGCCUCAGAGAGUUAGCCAAACAACUCAACAUGCCCUUUCCACUCACACAGGCCUGCAAGCUGCAAUUCAAACUUGACAUCAGUCAGUUUUAAGCUGCUUUCAUGUGCUCUCUGAAUUAUAUUGAUACUUCCGAGUUACUCAGUCGGAUACUUCCGAGUUUCUCAGUUUGAGACUUCUGAGUUUCUGUUGGAUACUUCCAAGUUUCUCAAUUUGAGACUUCCGAGUUUCUCAGUUUGAGACUUCCGAGUUUCUCAGUUUGAGACUUCAGAG